RNAcentral lists this ribosomal RNA (200 nucleotides) under uncultured bacterium. Its description in RNAcentral is "partial 16S ribosomal RNA". It matches the Rfam family "Bacterial small subunit ribosomal RNA", at positions 29 to 254 of the family's 1533-position model. The record is from RNAcentral.
AGCGAACGCUGGCGACAGGCUUAACACAUGCAAGUCGAACGGGCGUAGCAAUACGUCAGUGGCAGACGGGUGAGUAACACGUGGGAACAUACCUCUUGGUUCGGAACAACACAGGGAAACUUGUGCUAAUACCGGAUAAGCCCUUACGGGGAAAGAUUUAUCGCCGAGAGAUUGGCCCGCGUCUGAUUAGCUAGUUGGUA